Molecule: long non-coding RNA, 154 nt
Organism: Pieris napi
Lineage: Eukaryota; Metazoa; Arthropoda; Insecta; Lepidoptera; Pieridae
Exons: 3
Source: RefSeq, a predicted model, not a curated record
CAAAUUGUGAAACGGCCAUUUUCUACUUUAAUAUUGGUUAUAAGAGAUGUGACAUUCUCGUUUUCUAUUGGUUAUAAGUGAUGUGACAUUCUCGGUAAAUUAAUCCAAUCGAUUAUUUCCUCAUUUGUUAAUUUUAAAGUAAUAUACUAACCUU